GUCGACGGCCAUGCCGCCCUGAACAAGCCGGAUGUCUGAUCUCAGAAGCUAAGCAGGGUCGGGCCUGGUCAGUACUUGGAUGAGAGGCCACCUAGGAAGACGAGGUGCUGUAGGCU
RNAcentral lists this ribosomal RNA (116 nucleotides) under Pteropus alecto (black flying fox). The record is from RNAcentral. Lineage: Eukaryota; Metazoa; Chordata; Mammalia; Chiroptera; Pteropodidae.